RNAcentral lists this ribosomal RNA (208 nucleotides) under uncultured bacterium. Its description in RNAcentral is "partial 16S ribosomal RNA". It matches the Rfam family "Bacterial small subunit ribosomal RNA", at positions 568 to 774 of the family's 1533-position model. The record is from RNAcentral.
CGUGUAGGCGGAUCGCCGCGUCGGCUGCUGAAAUCCCCCGGCUCAACCGGGGAACGGGCACCGAUACGGGCGGUCUCGAGGGGGGUAGGGGGGUCUGGAACUUCCGGUGGAGCGGUGAAAUGCGUUGAGAUCGGAAGGAACGCCCGUGGCGAAAGCGAGGCCCUGGACCCUUACUGACGCUGAGACGCGAAAGCCAGGGGAGCGAACG